GGAUGGGUGCCCGAGCGGUUGAAGGGACCGGUCUUGAAAACCGGCGACGGUUAAUACCCGUCCGUGGGUUCGAAUCCCACCUCAUCCG
RNAcentral lists this transfer RNA (88 nucleotides) under Planctomycetia bacterium. Its description in RNAcentral is "tRNA-Ser". It matches the Rfam family "tRNA". From Rfam's summary of the family: Transfer RNA (tRNA) molecules are approximately 80 nucleotides in length. The record is from RNAcentral. Lineage: Bacteria; Pseudomonadati; Planctomycetota; Planctomycetia.